UACUGAGUUUACGCUCUAUAACCCUUUGUGAACAUACCUAUAACUGUUGCUUCGGCGGGUAGGGUCUCCGCGACCCUCCCGGCCUCCCGCCUCCGGGCGGGUCGGCGCCCGCCGGAGGAUAACCAAACUCUGAUUUAACGACGUUUCUUCUGAGUGGUACAAGCAAAUAAUCAAAACUUUUAACAACGGAUCUCUUGGUUCUGGCAUCGAUGAAGAACGCAGCGAAAUGCGAUAAGUAAUGUGAAUUGCAGAAUUCAGUGAAUCAUCGAAUCUUUGAACGCACAUUGCGCCCGCCAGCAUUCUGGCGGGCAUGCCUGUUCGAGCGUCAUUUCAACCCUCAAGCUCUGCUUGGUGUUGGGGCCCUACAGCUGAUGUAGGCCCUCAAAGGUAGUGGCGGACCCUCCCGGAGCCUCCUUUGCGUAGUAACUUUACGUCUCGCACUGGGAUCCGGAGGGACUCUUGCCGUAAAACCCCCCAAUUUUCCAAAGGUUGACCUCGGAUCAGGUAGGAAUACCCGCUGAACUUAAGCAUAUCAAUAAGCGGAGGAAAAGAAACCAACAGGGAUUGCCUCAGUAACGGCGAGUGAAGCGGCAACAGCUCAAAUUUGAAAUCUGGC
This 616-nucleotide ribosomal RNA is filed under the name fungal endophyte. Its description in RNAcentral is "eukaryotic LSU rRNA". The stretch from base 175 to 328 matches the Rfam family "5.8S ribosomal RNA". Lineage: Eukaryota; Fungi. The record is from RNAcentral.